GAGGAUGAAGGUCUUCGGAUUGUAAACUCCUGUUGAUCGGGACGAACAUCCAUCGGGCUAACACCCCGGAGGACUGACGGUACCGGUUGAGGAAGCCCCGGCUAACUCUGUGCCAGCAGCCGCGGUAAUACAGAGGGGGCAAGCGUUGUUCGGAAUUACUGGGCGUAAAGGGUUCGUAGGUGGCCAACUAAGUCAGACGUGAAACCCCUCGGCUCAACCGGGGAACUGCGUCUGAGACUGGAUGGCUUGAGUACAGGAGAGGAACGCGGAAUUCCAGGUGUAGCGGUGAAAUGCGUAGAUAUCUGGAGGAACACCGGUGGCGAAGGCGGCGUUCUGGACUGUUACUGACACUGAGGAACGAAAGCCAGGGGAGCAAACGGGAUUAGAUACCCCGGUAGUCCUGGCCCUAAACGAUGAAUGCUUGGUGUGGCGGGUAUCGAUCCCUGCCGUGCCGCAGUUAACGCGUUAAGCAUUCCGCCUGGGGAGUACGGUCGCAAGGCUG
This 502-nucleotide ribosomal RNA is filed under the name uncultured bacterium. Its description in RNAcentral is "bacterial SSU rRNA". It matches the Rfam family "Bacterial small subunit ribosomal RNA", at positions 404 to 896 of the family's 1533-position model. The record is from RNAcentral.